This 301-nucleotide ribosomal RNA is filed under the name uncultured Acholeplasma sp. RNAcentral's name for it is "bacterial SSU rRNA". It matches the Rfam family "Bacterial small subunit ribosomal RNA", at positions 494 to 795 of the family's 1533-position model. The record is from RNAcentral. Lineage: Bacteria; Bacillati; Mycoplasmatota; Mollicutes; Acholeplasmatales; Acholeplasmataceae.
CUGUCACGUUGUGACAGCCGACGCGGUAAGACGAAGUGGGCUGGCGAGACUCGGAAUGUCUGUGCGGGAAGCGCUGUUGUGUGGUUCGUUCAGUCCGAUGUGAAAGGCCUGGGCUCAACCUGGGAAUGGCAUUGGAUACUGGCGGGCUAGAGUGCGGUAGAGGGCAGUGGAAUUCCCGGUGUAGCAGUGAAAUGCGUAGAGAUCGGGAGGAACAUCUGUGGCGAAGGCGACUGCCUGGACCAGCACUGACACUGAGGCACGAAAGCGUGGGGAGCAAACAGGAUUAGAUUCCCCGGUAGUC